This is a long non-coding RNA of Pipistrellus kuhlii (Kuhl's pipistrelle), 651 nucleotides long. RefSeq lists it as uncharacterized. NCBI's taxonomy places the organism in Eukaryota, Metazoa, Chordata, Mammalia, Chiroptera, Vespertilionidae. The record is from RefSeq and is a predicted model, not a curated record. The transcript has 2 exons.
CACUGGUCAGCAUCCCUUAAACCCACACACCUUGGGAAAAAAAACACCUGCCCUUCUUUAGUAUGUAUUUUGGUUUGAUACAACUUAACGACUUAAAAAGAACAAAAUUCUUAAAAAUCCUUACAGUUGGGUAGAUAAAAUCGAAGUGGGCUAUUACUACAGUAAUAGCACUUAAACCUCUGUUUAUAGCGAUGAAAAGGCCCAAAUGUGAACUUGGAUUUCCCUUACGAUAGUGGGUUUCAGAUUGCCCAUCUAAAACACGCACUAUCUAAGGUGAUCACGUGUGGUACUAAGUUGUACACAUACGGCAUGCAUCACAAAGUAUAGAUGGCUGGGCUCAAGCGAAACUCUGAUGGAAUUCGAUCAGUUGGUAGCAGAACAGCCCAAGGUGGGUUCUAAUUUCUGGGCAUUAGCCACUUCACCCUGGUUUUUCUAGGACCGAGGAGCACACAGGAAUGAACUUGAAUGCUGUCCCCACAUAGGGGUGAAAGUUACAAGGAGAGGACAGAGCGACGGAAGGCAAGUCUCCUAAACAGCUGUGCUCCAUCAACCAGAAUCCAGAGUGAGGACCCAGCCGAGCAAAGUCACCAGCUGAUGUGUUAACAGACGUCUAGCCUGAGUGAGGAAUAAACACUGAGUGAGGAAUUUUAA